GAUGAACGCUGGCGGCGUGCCUAAUACAUGCAAGUCGAGCGAACGGACGAGAAUCUUGCUUCUCUGAUGUUAGCGGCGGACGGGUGAGUAACAUGAGGAUAAUCUACCUAUAAGACUGGGAUAACUUCGGGAAACCGGAGCUAAUACCGGAUAAUAUUUUGAACCGCAUGGUUCAAAAGUGAAAGACGGUCUUGCUGUCACUUAUAGAUGGAUCCGCGCUGCAUUAGCUAGUUGGUAAGGUAACGGCUUACCAAGGCAACGAUGCGUAGCCGACUUGAGAGGGGGAUCGGCGACACUGGAACUGAGACACGGUCCAGACUCCUACGGGAGGCAGCAGUAGGGAAUCUUCCGCAAUGGGCGAAAGCCUGACUCAGCAACGCCGCGUGAGUGAUGAAGGUCUUCGGAUCGUAAAACUCUGUUAUUAGGGAAGAACAUAUGUGUAAGUAACUGUGCACAUCUUGACGGUACCUAAUCAGAAAGCAACGGCUAACUACGUG
RNAcentral lists this ribosomal RNA (497 nucleotides) under uncultured bacterium. Its description in RNAcentral is "partial 16S ribosomal RNA". It matches the Rfam family "Bacterial small subunit ribosomal RNA", at positions 28 to 507 of the family's 1533-position model. The record is from RNAcentral.